CCUACGGGGGGCAGCAGUGGGGGAUAUUGCACAAUGGGGGAAACCCUGAUGCAGCGACGCCGCGUGGGUGAAGAAGUAUUUCGGUAUGUAAAGCCCUAUCAGCAGGGAAGAAAGAAGACGGUACCUGACUAAGAAGCCCCGGCUAACUACGUGCCAGCAGCCGCGGUAAUACGUAGGGGGCGAGCGUUAUCCGGAUUCACUGGGUGUAAAGGGAGCGUAGACGGCCGUGCAAGCCAGGAGUGAAAGCCCGGGGCCCAACCCCGGGACUGCUCUUGGAACUGCGUGGCUGGAGUGCAGGAGGGGCAGGCGGAAUUCCUGGUGUAGCGGUGAAAUGCGUAGAUAUCAGGAGGAACACCGGUGGCGAAGGCGGCCUGCUGGACUGCAACUGACGUUGAGGCCCGAAAGCGUGGGGAGCAAACAGGAUUAGAUACCCCAGUAGUC
RNAcentral lists this ribosomal RNA (441 nucleotides) under uncultured bacterium. RNAcentral describes it as "partial 16S ribosomal RNA". It matches the Rfam family "Bacterial small subunit ribosomal RNA", at positions 338 to 795 of the family's 1533-position model. The record is from RNAcentral.